Molecule: transfer RNA, 72 nt
Filed under: Camelus bactrianus (Bactrian camel)
Lineage: Eukaryota; Metazoa; Chordata; Mammalia; Artiodactyla; Camelidae
Also listed under: 2 other names
Rfam family: tRNA
About the family: Transfer RNA (tRNA) molecules are approximately 80 nucleotides in length. Their secondary structure includes four short double-helical elements and three loops (D, anti-codon, and T loops).
Source: Rfam by way of RNAcentral
GAGGGUAUAGCUAAGCCGGAGAGCGCAUGCUUAGCAUGCCUGAGGUCCUGGGUUCACUCUCCAGUGCCUCCA